AGGACGAACGCUGGCGGCGUGCUUAUCACAUGCAAGUCGAGCGGUGAUCCUCCUUCGGGAGGUGAUCAGCGGCGAACGGGUGAGUAACACGUGGGCAACCUGCCCCUCACACUGGGAUAAACCUCGGGAAACCGGGGCUAAUACCGGAUACGACCUCGAGCGGCAUCUCUUGAGGUGGAAAGCUCCGACGGUGAGGGAUGGGCCCGCGGCCUAUCAGCUUGUUGGUGGGGUAAUGGCCUACCAAGGCGACGACGGGUA
RNAcentral lists this ribosomal RNA (258 nucleotides) under uncultured bacterium. RNAcentral's name for it is "partial small subunit ribosomal RNA". It matches the Rfam family "Bacterial small subunit ribosomal RNA", at positions 26 to 285 of the family's 1533-position model. The record is from RNAcentral.